This 617-nucleotide ribosomal RNA is filed under the name uncultured beta proteobacterium. RNAcentral describes it as "bacterial SSU rRNA". It matches the Rfam family "Bacterial small subunit ribosomal RNA", at positions 29 to 642 of the family's 1533-position model. The record is from RNAcentral. Lineage: Bacteria; Pseudomonadati; Pseudomonadota; Betaproteobacteria.
AUAGACGCUGGCGGAUGCUUACACAUGCAAGUCGAACGGCAGCACGGGAGCAAUCCUGGUGGCGAGUGGCGAACGGGUGAGUAAUAUAUCGGAACGUGCCCAGUCGUGGGGUGAUAACGCAGCGAAAGCUGUGCUAAUACCGCAUACGAUCUACGGAUGAAAGCGGGGGAUCGCAAGACCUCGCGCGAUUGGAGCGGCCGAUAUCAGAUUAGCUAGUUGGUGGGGUAAAGGCCCACCAAGGCGACGAUCUGUAGCUGGUCUGAGAGGACGACCAGCCACACUGGAACUGAGACACGGUCCAGACUCCUACGGGAGGCAGCAGUGGGGAAUUUUGGACAAUGGGCGCAAGCCUGAUCCAGCAAUGCCGCGUGCAGGAUGAAGGCCUUCGGGUUGUAAACUGCUUUUGUACGGAACGAAACGGUGAGCUCUAAUAAAGUUUGCUAAUGACGGUACCGUAAGAAUAAGCACCGGCUAACUACGUGCCAGCAGCCGCGGUAAUACGUAGGGCGCGAGCGUUAAUCGGAAUUACUGGGCGUAAAGCGUGCGCAGGCGGUUAUGUAAGACAGAUGUGAAAUCCCCGGGCUCAACCUGGGACCUGCAUUUGUGACUGCAUAGCU